UACGAAGGGGGCUAGCGUUGCUCGGAAUCACUGGGCGUAAAGGGUGCGUAGGCGGGGCUUUAAGUCAGGGGUGAAAUCCUGGAGCUCAACUCCAGAACUGCCUUUGAUACUGAAGAUCUUGAGUUCGGGAGAGGUGAGUGGAACUGCGAGUGUAGAGGUGAAAUUCGUAGAUAUUCGCAAGAACACCAGUGGCGAAGGCGGCUCACUGGCCCGAUACUGACGCUGAGGCACGAAAGCGUGGGGAGCAAGCAGG
Molecule: ribosomal RNA, 253 nt
Filed under: uncultured bacterium
Lineage: Bacteria
Description: partial 16S ribosomal RNA
Rfam family: Bacterial small subunit ribosomal RNA
Source: RNAcentral